GUGCAGCUAGCUCAGUCAGUAGAGCAUGAGACUCUUAAUUUCAUGUCGUGUGUUCCUACCUCACAUUGGGCA
This 72-nucleotide transfer RNA is filed under the name Cricetulus griseus (Chinese hamster). It matches the Rfam family "tRNA". Rfam says of the family: Transfer RNA (tRNA) molecules are approximately 80 nucleotides in length. Their secondary structure includes four short double-helical elements and three loops (D, anti-codon, and T loops). Further hydrogen bonds mediate the characteristic L-shaped molecular structure. tRNAs have two regions of fundamental functional importance: the anti-codon, which is responsible for specific mRNA codon recognition, and the 3' end, to which the tRNAs corresponding amino acid is attached (by aminoacyl-tRNA synthetases). tRNAs cope with the degeneracy of the genetic code in two manners: having more than one tRNA (with a specific anti-codon) for a particular amino acid; and 'wobble' base-pairing, i.e. permitting non-standard base-pairing at the 3rd anti-codon position. Lineage: Eukaryota; Metazoa; Chordata; Mammalia; Rodentia; Cricetidae. The record is from Rfam by way of RNAcentral.